GACGAACGCUGGCGGCGUGCUUAACACAUGCAAGUCGAACGAAGAGCGAUGGACGCUUGCUUCUAUCAAUCUUAGUGGCGCACGGGUGAGUAACGCGUAAUCAACCUGCCCUUCAGAGGGGGACAACAGUUGGAAACGACUGCUAAUACCGCAUACGAUCCAAUCUCGGCAUCGAGGAUGGAUGAAAGGUGGCCUCUAUUUAUAAGCUAUCACUGAAGGAGGGGAUUGCGUCUGAUUAGCUAGUUGGAGGGGUAACGGCCCACCAAGGCGAUGAUCAGUAGCCGGUCUGAGAGGAUGAACGGCCACAUUGGGACUGAGACACGGCCCAGACUCCUACGGGAGGCAGCAGUGGGGAAUCUUCCGCAAUAGACGAAAGUCUGACGGAGCAACGCCGCGUGAGUGAUGACGGCCUUCGGGUUGUAAAGCUCUGUUAAUCGGGACGAAAGGUCCUCUUGCGAAUAGUUAGAGGAAUUGACGGUACCGGAAUAGAAAGCCACGGCUAACUACGUG
RNAcentral lists this ribosomal RNA (510 nucleotides) under uncultured bacterium. RNAcentral describes it as "partial 16S ribosomal RNA". It matches the Rfam family "Bacterial small subunit ribosomal RNA", at positions 28 to 507 of the family's 1533-position model. The record is from RNAcentral.